CUAGUUCUUGGAUAUAUAAUAUAGAUAUACGUACAGAAAUAUAUGUACAAGAAAACUUUGAGACUACUUCAGGGUAGCGGGCUCUGACCAAAAUGACAUUGAUUUGGGAAUUGGUCGAAUAUGAUUCCGCAAAGACCUGUUCUUGAUUAGGAAAGGCGUUAGGAGAAGCAAACGAUACUUAUUAUAUAUAGUUCCCUCAGUUGAGCAUGUAGAGUAUCCAUAUAACGAUAAUGAUUCGUAUCCAAAAUGGUUCGUUUCACAACGCCUCCUGCACUGUUUACAAGUUUCCCUUGAUUCUAUUGUUGCUGUUGGUCUCGUCGGAGAUAGUCUCGGCUGCCAGAAUCCCUGUAAUUCCAGUCAACAGUGAGUCUCUUAAUCUCUCUCUCUCUCUCUCUCUCUCUCUCUCUCUCUCUCUCUCUCUCUCUCUCUCUGUAUAUACUAUAUACAGGUUCUGUUAUGAAUUAACGAGUGUUGGUUGGUUCAUUGAUCAAGUAUUUUGAAUCAUAUGAAUGAGAAUGUUCAUCGUACGAAUAUCCAUUGCCAGCAUGGCUGUAUUAUUUGUCUGAUCGAAUCAACUACUAAAGUUACAAAGUUAUUUAUGUAUUGCCAUUGUUAUUGCAGAAGUGAAGAGCAUGUCGCAUGGGGAUCAGUGGGAGAUUGUCGAGGUUAAAAAUCGAUUAACAGGCCGAUUAAUACUAGCAGAAACACCGCCGCCAGCACCCCGGAAAGCUGUAAUAAGACCGCCUACGCCUUCCGGAGGACAAGGUUGAAUUUUGGUUUGGUCAUUUCUAUAAGAGAUCCAUUUCAAUGAGUACUCUUUAGUUGAUAAUUAGUUGAGGACUUCUUUGUUUCACCCCUUCCCGAUUGCGUAUUCAUAUAUCUAAACCGUUUAGUUUACAUGUAUAUCUAAGUAGAUCAUGUCUGCAAAUUCUUAGUCGAAUUGAAAAUCAUUAAAACGUUUGUAAGUGUGAUAUACAAAUUAUAAAUUAUGAACUUGAAUGGUUCAUGUUUGACAGAUUUAGUCCAUUGAUUUAAGUAAUGGUAGCACUGACAGAUUUAGUCCAUUGAUUUAGUAAUGGUAGCACUGAAAUGGAUGUUGUCUACGGUGCUUUUGAAUUUAGCUAGCCAUAGUUAUUACUAUAUUCUUUUCAGUAACAUAAGAAAGAACAAAGAAAUAAAAGGCUCGUUUGCCUGUAUUCCUAUUAUUGCGCCUUUAUUAUGAAUAAAAUAGGCAUUACAAUGAGCACUUUUAUUUUGAUUUUUGCCAUCUUAUAUAUAUAAGAAUGCACAAGAAAAAACUUCUGCCUGUGUUGAUCAUUUUGAUAAAAGGUUCACAUGGCCUGCGCUGUGUUUUCAAGAACUAUAAACUUAACCAAGGAAUAAAAUAAUGUUCCAACAGAAGCACUAUUCUUGAUCUUUGAUGGACCUGCCACUCAUUUGCUUUCUGCUUGCAAUUCACUGAGAAUGAUGGGUUCUUCAGUUACUCCAUUCACGGUUUUCAUCAAGUCAUGCCCAGUAAAUCCAUCGUGCUUUGCAUAAAAUAGGUGCACAAUUUUGCACAUGUUCCAAAACAGGUCCUUGCAAGCUCUUGGAACCAAGNNNNNNNNNNNNNNNNNNNNCGAGUGUUGGUUGGUUCAUUGAUCAAGUAUUUUGAAUCAUAUGAAUGAGAAUGUUCAUCGUAUGAAUAUCCAUUGCCAGCAUGGCUGUAUUAUUUGUCUGAUCGAAUCAACUACUAAAGUUACAAAGUUAUUUAUAUAUUGCCAUUUUUAUUGCAGAAGUGAAGAGCAUGUCGCAUGGGGAUCAGUGGGAGAUUGUCGAGGUUAAAAAUCGAUUAACAGGCCGAUUAAUACUAGCAGAAACACCGCCGCCAGCAUCCCGGAAAGCUGUAAUAAGACCGCCUACGCCUUCCGGAGGACAAGGUUGAAUUUUUGUUUGGUCAUUUCUAUAAGAGAUCCAUUCUAACGAGGACACUUUAGUUGAUGAUUAGUUGAGAACUUCUUUGUUUCACCUCUUUCCGAUUGCGUAUUCAAAUAUUUAAACCGUUCAGUUUACAUAUAUAUCUAAGUAAAUCAUGUCUGUAAAUUUUUAGUCGAAUUGAAAAUCAUUAAGGCGUUUGUAAGUGUGAUAUAUAAAUUAUGAACUUGAAUGGUUCACGGUUGACAGAUUUAGUCCAUUGAUUUAGUAAUGGUAGCACUGAAAUGGUUGUUGUCUACAGUGCUUUUGAAUUUAGCUAGCCAUAGUUAUUACUAUUUUCUUUUCAGUUACUUAAGAAAGAACAGAGAAAUGAAAGGCUCGUUUGCCUGUAUUCCUAUUAUUGCGCCUUUAUUAUGAAUAAAAUAGGCAUUACAAUGAGCACUUUUAUUUUGAUUUUUGCCAUCUUAUAUAUAUAAGAAUGCACAAGAAAAAACUUCUGCCUGUGUUGAUCAUAGGGAAAUUAUUAUUUGUACCCGG
This 2451-nucleotide long non-coding RNA is filed under the name Fragaria vesca (wild strawberry). RNAcentral describes it as "long non-coding RNA (FVES_LNC001302)". Lineage: Eukaryota; Viridiplantae; Streptophyta; Magnoliopsida; Rosales; Rosaceae. The record is from RNAcentral.